RNAcentral lists this long non-coding RNA (1318 nucleotides) under Cyanistes caeruleus (blue tit). RNAcentral describes it as "lncRNA (ENSCCEG00000014650.1)". Lineage: Eukaryota; Metazoa; Chordata; Aves; Passeriformes; Paridae. The record is from RNAcentral.
GCGGGGGCAGCGGGCGCUCCGGCCGCACAUCGCGCCACAAGGAAGAAGCGGAGCUGGCUCCCCAUCGCUCCCCUCCUUCUUCCCCCAGCGUUUACUGCGAGGUGACCUCGCAGGAGGAAUGGCAGAGCAAUCAACUGGGAAGCCAGAAGAUUCCUAGAGCUCAUCCUGGCCGAUGGGGAGAAUGGACAUGGUUGGUCCUCACUUGGUGUGUCCAACACACAGACUGUUGGAAGAGGUGCUGGAAAAUAGGCACAGAAAACUAACUUUUAGAAUGAGAAGAUGCCAUUCACACAUCUGUGGAUGAGUCUCACCCUGCUUCCUCCCUGCUGUCCUUGUCACCUGCCCCAUGUCCUGCUGGGGACGGGCAGAGCUGCCCCAGGGGUGUCUGACAUGUCCUGCAAGCCAGGUCUGCUGCCUGCACAGUGAGAGGUGUUCUUGGGAGGUCUGAGAGCAGAGCAAGAACACGGUACUCCCUGACCAUCCUCAGCCAGAGCACUCCUCUUAGGCAACUGGGAACUGAUCACCUUCUGCCUGCCGUGCCUUUUGCACUUUUAACUCCUGCUGCACAAUAUUUUGGCUGGGUCACGGAACCUCAGCAAUGUGCCCAGUCAUAAAGUGGUAUCUCAUGUUCAGGUUCUCAGAGAGCUGGUUUCCCACCUGGAUUAUGGCAAAUAAAUUCUGUUAGGCUUAAGAUGACAUUUUCCAUUCUCUAAUAAUUUGUAAUUUUAUUUUUUCUUUUCAGUGAGAGAAAGGGACUAAUCCCUGGUAAUUCUAAUUAACACAACUCUGAUUAUGCAUAAUCAUUCAGUUCAGGGAUUUCUUCCUAGCCCUGAAUCGCUGCUCUCGCUUUUGUUUACAGUCAAGGGAAUAAGUCAGACACAAUACCCAAAGACAAUGUAUUAGUACCAUGCAGAGAACUGUUUAUGGGGUCUUCCAUCAGCAGAGUGUGGUUGCUGGAGUCUCUGGAAGGGGUGGGGGCUGGCAGUGUGCAAAGCUUCCCAGUAGGGAUGGGAAGGGAGCACACAGGGCCAUGGCAUCAGGGUUUUUUCCAGCACAGGCUGACAAAGUGGGCCAGUCUGCCUCGCUGGAAAAACUGUGCUGCAAAUUUUUGCUCUCAGCCUCAAGGAAGUGAGAUUUCCUCGUGGAGACCCAGGGAGACCCACAACUGUGGCUUUGCAAAUGGCACAAAUGAAUGUCCAUAGUCCAAAAUACUUUUGGAUCCUCCUUGUAGAGCCUUCUCCUUCAGCUACUCGUCUUCUGGGAAGCCAAAACCCUCGCACUGAUCUCCUACAUGAGAAUAAAGCUCACAAAACAUCCA